UUGCCUCAGUAACGGCGAGUGAAGCGGCAAGAGCUCAAAUUUGAAAUCUGGCCCCUUCGGGGUCCGAGUUGUAAUUUGUAGAGGAUGCUUCGGGUGCGGCCCCCGUCUAAGUGCUCUGGAACGGGCCAUCGGAGAGGGUGAGAAUCCCGUCUGGGACGGGGUGUCCGCGUCCAUGUGAAGCUCCUUCGACGAGUCGAGUUGUUUGGGAAUGCAGCUCUAAAUGGGUGGUAAAUUUCAUCUAAAGCUAAAUACUGGCCGGAGACCGAUAGCGCACAAGUAGAGUGAUCGAAAGAUGAAAAGCACUUUGAAAAGAGAGUUAAACAGCACGUGAAAUUGUUGAAAGGGAAGCGCUUGCGACCAGACUCGCUUCCGGGGUUCAGCCGGCUUUCGGGCCGGUGUACUUCCCCGGGGGCGGGCCAGCGUCGGUUUGGGCGGCCGGUCAAAGGCCCCUGGAAUGUAACGCCCCUCGGGGCGCCUUAUAGCCAGGGGUGUCAUGCGGCCAGCCUGGACCGAGGAACGCGCUUCGGCACGGACGCUGGCAUAAUGGUCGUAAACGACCCGUCUUGAAACACGGACCAAGGAGUCUAACAUCUACGCGAGUGUUCGGGUGUCAAACCCGUGCGCGCAGUGAAAGCGAACGGAGGUGGGAGCCCCCUCGAGGGGCGCACCAUCGACCGAUCCUGAUGUCUUCGGAUGGAUUUGAGUAAGAGCGUAGCUGUGGGGACCCGAAAGAUGGUGAACUAUGCCUGAAUAGGGCGAAGCCAGAGGAAACUCUGGUGGAGGCUCGCAGCCGGUUCUGACGUGCAAAUCGAUCGUCAAAAUUUGGGUAUAGGGGCGAAAGACUAAUCGA
RNAcentral lists this ribosomal RNA (850 nucleotides) under Aspergillus glaucus. Its description in RNAcentral is "LSU rRNA". It matches the Rfam family "Eukaryotic large subunit ribosomal RNA", at positions 75 to 938 of the family's 3401-position model. The record is from RNAcentral. Lineage: Eukaryota; Fungi; Ascomycota; Eurotiomycetes; Eurotiales; Aspergillaceae.